This 484-nucleotide ribosomal RNA is filed under the name uncultured bacterium. RNAcentral's name for it is "partial 16S ribosomal RNA". It matches the Rfam family "Bacterial small subunit ribosomal RNA", at positions 30 to 507 of the family's 1533-position model. The record is from RNAcentral.
AUUGAACGCUGGCGGCAUGCCUUACACAUGCAAGUCGAACGGCAGCACGGACUUCGGUCUGGUGGCGAGUGGCGAACGGGUGAGUAAUGUAUCGGAACGUACCUUUCAGUGGGGGAUAACGUAGCGAAAGUUACGCUAAUACCGCAUAUUCUGUGAGCAGGAAAGCAGGGGAUCGAAAGACCUUGCGCUGAUUGAGCGGCCGAUAUCAGAUUAGCUAGUUGGUGGGGUAAAGGCCUACCAAGGCGACGAUCGGUAGCGGGUCUGAGAGGAUGAUACGCCACACUGGAACUGAGACACGGUCCAGACUCCUACGGGAGGCAGCAGUGGGGAAUUUUGGACAAUGGGGGCAACCCUGAUCCAGCCAUGCCGCGUGAGUGAAGAAGGCCUUCGGGUUGUAAAGCUCUUUCGGCCGGGAAGAAAUCGCAUAGGCUAAUACCCUGUGUGGAUGACGGUACCGGAAGAAGAAGCACCGGCUAACUACGUG